RNAcentral lists this ribosomal RNA (253 nucleotides) under uncultured bacterium. RNAcentral's name for it is "partial 16S ribosomal RNA". It matches the Rfam family "Bacterial small subunit ribosomal RNA", at positions 524 to 776 of the family's 1533-position model. The record is from RNAcentral.
UACGAAGGGGGCUAGCGUUGUUCGGAAUUACUGGGCGUAAAGCGCACGUAGGCGGAUUGUUAAGUCGGGGGUGAAAUCCUGGGGCUCAACCUCAGAAUUGCCUCCGAUACUGGCAGUCUCGAGUGCGGGAGAGGUGAGUGGAAUUCCCAGUGUAGAGGUGAAAUUCGUAGAUAUUGGGAAGAACACCAGUGGCGAAGGCGGCUCACUGGCCCGUAACUGACGCUGAGGUGCGAAAGCGUGGGGAGCAAACAGG